This 1779-nucleotide long non-coding RNA is filed under the name Gossypium raimondii (Peruvian cotton). Its description in RNAcentral is "long non-coding RNA (GRAI_LNC001356)". Lineage: Eukaryota; Viridiplantae; Streptophyta; Magnoliopsida; Malvales; Malvaceae. The record is from RNAcentral.
GUUAACGAAAUAAGAAGACAUUGACAUGUGAAAUGCCAUGUGUACCUCAUAUCGACAUACAAAGACCAAUUUUUAAUAGUAGAAAUAGGUAAAAUUUUUAACAGAAAAAUCAGUUUGUACAUUGAUCAAAAGUACAAAAAUUAAUUUAUCUAUUUUCUAAGUAAAAGAAGUAAAAUGAAAUCUAUUCCUAAUAAACGAAUCUCCAUAUUACUUUUACCCAAUCACUUUCUUCAUUUUAACUCAAAAUUGGCUCCAUUUCAAGUGCGGUGCACAUUAGCACGUGAAGAUGGUCCCCAAUCCCGUCUAUUUCAUUCUUUUCUUUUUUUUUUCAUAAUGUGCGUGCGACCCAUGAUUCAUCUUUGCCAUUGGUGCAAACCAUGCCCUUCCCUUUGUUGUCCUGGUCCUUUUUGUUGGAUCUGAAAAUUCAAGUGAAAUGCGACUGCCAAUACCGGUGCCGGCUAGUCUAGCCUACCUCCGUCCUUGAUCUGUUUCGCAGAAAAGGUAUGGAACAGCCAAAAGAUCCGAAGUAGAUAAAAUAUCAUUUUAAAGUUCCAAGACAUUAAUAUCAAAGACAGUUAAAAGUGCUGCAAUUUUAUAUAUAAAUCAGAGAUACAAUGGAGGAACUAAUCGGAUAGAUAUGGAAGAGAAUCAUAUGUGGUUUUUGUGAUUACAAGCAAGGAAGGAAUGAGCUUUUUAUCUCUUAGAAAACUGGACCACGUUAAAGGCAGUAGUGCUACUAACGAAGAGCGCCAUAUAAAAUUAGUUUCAUGGUCACAUAAAUGGAGGUGAAAGUAGCAUGGAAGUUACUAGAUUUUAUUUUAUUUUAUAUGAAAUAUGGGUCAUUAUAUUUUAGAUUUAAAAAUAAAUUGGUGUUUUGACUAAAAGUUUCAUUAAUUUAUCUUGUUACAAGCUAGCUUGACAGAUAGAAUGAUCAAACAAUGUUACGUGUACCUCAUGCUAUUAAGAAUUUUCAAACAACGUGUUAAAGACUCACACAUAUUUUUUGCAUAUCUGAUGUACUAACGCGAACCUGCAACUAUUACCACCUUAAUUUAAAUAACAGUGAACUAGAUCUAAACACAAAACACACAAAUUGUGAGUUAGAACCAAUAUUUGAAACCCCUUUAGGGUUCAGUCGAAACUAGGAUUAGCAAAAGUAAACGAAUUUUGAAUUUCGAUUUCUACUUACCCUUCUAAAGAUUAACCAAGAGGUGCGGAUUAUCCUUUGACUCUACUGCUAAUCCAAGGCGUUCAAUUUAGGUCCCUCAAACAAAAUAACACACCAAAAAUUAGGAUGUGAAAUUUAGCUAUCAUAUUAACAAUAUUCGACCAUUACAGAAAAUAAGAGGGAAAGAAAUUAACAAUAGAUCUGAUAUAUACACAGCACUUACACUACCCAAUUCAGAUAUGUGAUGACUGGAAUUCAAAUUUGAUAGAAAAUAAAUAAAUAAGAAAAGAAGGGUGAUUUAAGAGCUUCAAGGGGUGACAAUGGUGUGAAAAGAAAAAAGAAAUGGUGGACAGUUUUCUAGUGAAUGACAGCAGUAAUGGUGGCUAGCUCACUAGGCGGGAACAAAAAAUGGAAAAAAGAAAGGAACUAUGGGAGGAAUAUAGGGCUUAUGUAUGGCACAAUAGAGGAAGAAAAGAAAGAAAAGGAAUAGAAUGGAGAAGAAAAGAGGAGGAAGAUUAAAGGGGCGACUAUAGGGAAGUAGAAUGAGCAAAAUGAGGUUGACAGAAAAAGAAAAAUAAAUUUUAUACCUACGGUUUCUAGGUAAGGAUGAC